This 548-nucleotide ribosomal RNA is filed under the name uncultured bacterium. Its description in RNAcentral is "bacterial SSU rRNA". It matches the Rfam family "Bacterial small subunit ribosomal RNA", at positions 335 to 874 of the family's 1533-position model. The record is from RNAcentral.
ACUCUACGGGAGGCAGCAGUGGGGAAUCUUGCGCAAUGGGCGAAAGCCUGACGCAGCAACGCCGCGUGCGGGAAGAUAGGCCUUCGGGUUGUAAACCGCUUUCAGGGGGAACGAAGUCGUCCCGGGUUAAUAGCCCGAGCGUUGACGGUACCCCCAAAAGAAGUCCCGGCUAACUACGUGCCAGCAGCCGCGGUAAUACGUAGGGGACAAGCGUUGUCCGGAAUCAUUGGGCGUAAAGCGCGUGUAGGCGGCCCAGUAAGUCUUGCGUGAAAUCCUGAGGCUCAACCUCAGGCGUGCGCGGGAUACUGCUGGGCUAGAGUCCGGAAGAGGAGUGUGGAAUUCCUGGUGUAGCGGUGGAAUGCGCAGAUAUCAGGAAGAACAUCUAUGGCGAAGGCAGCACUCUGGGACGGUACUGACGCUGAGACGCGAAAGCGUGGGGAGCGAACAGGAUUAGAUACCCUGGUAGUCCACGCCGUAAACGAUGGGCGCUAGGUGUGGGAGGUGUCGAUUCCUUCCGUGCCGAAGCUAACGCAUUAAGCGCCCCGCCU